This 468-nucleotide ribosomal RNA is filed under the name uncultured bacterium. RNAcentral describes it as "partial 16S ribosomal RNA". It matches the Rfam family "Bacterial small subunit ribosomal RNA", at positions 28 to 507 of the family's 1533-position model. The record is from RNAcentral.
GACGAACGCUGGCGGCGUGCUUAACACAUGCAAGUCGAACGGAAAGGCCCUGCUUUUGUGGGGUGCUCGAGUGGCGAACGGGUGAGUAACACGUGAGUAACCUGCCCUUGACUUUGGGAUAACUUCAGGAAACUGGGGCUAAUACCGGAUAGGAGCUCCUGCUGCAUGGUGGGGGUUGGAAAGUUUCGGCGGUUGGGGAUGGACUCGCGGCUGAUCAGCUUGUUGGUGGGGUAGUGCCUUACCAAGACUUUGACGGGUAGCGGGCCUUAGCGGGUGACCAGGAAGAUUAGCACUGAGAUAAGGCCCAGACGCCUAAGGGAGGCAACAGUGCGGAAUAUUGCUAGAUGGGCGGAAGCGUGAUGCAGCAACGCCACGUGCGGGAUGACGGCAUUCGGGUUGUAAACCGCUUUCGCCUGUGACGAAGCGUGAGUGACGGUAAUGGGUAAAGAAGCACCGGCUAACUACGUG